AGCGAACGUUAGCGGCGGGCCUAACACAUGCAAGUCGAGCGAGAAAGUGGCUUCGGCCAUCAGUAAAGCGGCGGACGGGUGAGUAACACGUAGGUAAUCUUCCCUCGAGCGGGGGACAACGUUUCGAAAGGAACGCUAAUACCGCAUACGUUUCAGGGAACUCCGGUUCCCUGGAGGAAAGCUAGGUCGCAAGAUCCGGCACUCGAGGAGGAGCCUGCGUCGCAUCAGCUAGUUGGUGGGGUAACGGCCUACCAAGGCGAAGACGCGUAG
This 270-nucleotide ribosomal RNA is filed under the name uncultured bacterium. Its description in RNAcentral is "partial 16S ribosomal RNA". It matches the Rfam family "Bacterial small subunit ribosomal RNA", at positions 29 to 286 of the family's 1533-position model. The record is from RNAcentral.